CCGGAGCCUGAGAGUGGCAAUGCUGUGGAGAAACCAGCAAGGGCAUUAACUUCCCCUGGGGAAAAUGUGUACAAUCGUAUCAACAAAUCCAUGGAGAUAUGACAAUCACCAGAGAUGCGGUGGGAAUAUUAUGUUGCAUCUGCUUCUGACUGCUUCCCAAGCCUUGAUUAUGACACAGAGGAGAAGACAACUUAGCCAUAGUGCCUGGUCUAGGUCAUCAGUAAUAUAGUUGGAAUAAUAAGGAAAUGUUUUGAAGCUAUACCAUCACGAAUGGGUGGAAUUGAAAAAAAUAAAAGAAGAAAUUCCAGAAUAACGAAUGAAUGAAUGAAUGAAUUGAGCAUCUCCUACAGGCAAGGCACUGCGUCAGGUCCUGAAGGUACAAGAGUGAACAAGACUGAUAUAUUCCUUCUCCUCAUGAGAAGCAGAUGUGAAACAAAGAAUCCUGGAGGUCAGAAGUCCAAAAUCAAGAAGUUGGCCAGGUUGUGCUCCCCACGAAGGCUCAAGACAUCAGAGCUCCUGGUUCUCGUGCCUUUGGACUCCAGACUAAUACCAGUGGCCCUCCCAGUUCUCAGUCCUUCAGCAUUGGACUGAACGAUACCACCAGCUUUCCUGGUUCUCCAGCUUGCAGAUGGCAGACUGUGGGACUUUGUGGCCUCCACAACCAGCCCUCAGGCAUGCUUCAGUGGAAGAUUUGGGAGAAAUUAUAAUGGUCCCAGCCAAGAAUUUUUAUUAAAAAAGUUUUAAAAAGGGCCAGAAGACUUUCCCCCUUUGAAGCAGAGGAAAACCAACCACUGCAGCCCCCUGUGCCUCCCACCAUCGCCAUCAUCGCCACCACUACCUCUCAGCCUUCUAGUGUGUUCACUGGCUUUCUGAUUCUGGCAUCUUCUUGGAACUUCCUUGCCCCUUGUAACUGCUAAUGGACCUGCGCAGCGACCACGGCCUGAGAAAGGUAUGAUUACCAAGAGAUCAGAUGCCUCAGCAAUGGAAGCUUGAGCCACACCACCAGGUAAGCCAUUGAGUCCUGCCAAGGCGAGGGCUGAGGGUGAGGGGUAAUUUAGAAUGGACGGUGGAGGAGGAAGAGGAUGAGGUCCAGGUGUGGUCCUGAGAUCAAAUGCAGCACCAAGGGCUGUGCUUUAUCCUACUAACUUCCCUUUUUUGAGUUUUUGCCUCAGGAAGAAAGUCCUGUGGGAACCGUGGAGAAGGUGCUCCUCCAACUUCGGUGGAGAUGUAGAUUUGUGCAGCGCCAACAGGAGCAUGUGGUGGCCAUGAAAGUGCAUCUCUCGGAUUUCCUACUUCAGGGAGUAUAGUUGACCCACAGAUCAGCUGCUGUGCUCUGAAAUCUAUCACCACAUUCGCACUGAGGUGGUGCUUUUCCUAGGUUGCUCCCAGCAAAUGACUGAGUGUAGCAGGGAUACUUAGCAGGCCCGUACCUGUAACAUGCUGGCCUCCUCUGAAGGGCCACUUUGCCUCAGGACUGCCCAGAGGCCUGGCUGAAACUUUCUUAGAACUGUGCUGAAGUCUAAGAAGUAACUCCUGACUCUCUUAUUCCCUUCUUCGCUCCCUCCCUAGUUUCUGCUUUCUUCUCUUUCACAUGGGGCAGAACUACAUCAUGGUCUGAUGGCUCCUCCACCAGUUCCUUCUCCAUCUUCCCUCACUGGGAUUUCCUCUAAUAAAUCUCUUGCACAUCUAA
This is a long non-coding RNA of Equus asinus (donkey), 1690 nucleotides long. Lineage: Eukaryota; Metazoa; Chordata; Mammalia; Perissodactyla; Equidae. The record is from Ensembl.